GAGGUACUAGUAUAAAUAAUACAUAACUUUGUCAAAGUUAAAAUAUAAACUAACCUUUAUGUACCUCU
RNAcentral lists this transfer RNA (68 nucleotides) under Elephantulus rupestris (western rock elephant shrew). RNAcentral describes it as "tRNA-Asp". Lineage: Eukaryota; Metazoa; Chordata; Mammalia; Macroscelidea; Macroscelididae. The record is from RNAcentral.